RNAcentral lists this ribosomal RNA (306 nucleotides) under uncultured Planctomycetota bacterium. RNAcentral's name for it is "bacterial SSU rRNA". It matches the Rfam family "Bacterial small subunit ribosomal RNA", at positions 29 to 350 of the family's 1533-position model. Lineage: Bacteria; Pseudomonadati; Planctomycetota. The record is from RNAcentral.
AAUGAACGUUGGCGGCGUGGAUUAGGCAUGCAAGUCGUGCGAUAACCGUAGCAAUACGGGGAAAGCGGCGAAAGGGAGAGUAACGCGUGGAUCACCUACCCUCGGGCCUGGGAUAGCUGCGGGAAACUGCAGGUAAUACCGGAUAACGUCCCCGGACCAAAGGUGUAAUUCCGCCUGAGGAUGGGUCCGCGUCCUAUUAGCUAGUUGGUGGGGUAAUGGCCCACCAAGGCAACGAUGGGUACGAGGCGUGAGAGCGUGUCCUCGCUCACUGGGACUGAGACACUGCCCAGACACCUACGGGUGGCU